Triticum urartu is the source of this 125-nucleotide non-coding RNA. The record is from Rfam. NCBI's taxonomy places the organism in Eukaryota, Viridiplantae, Streptophyta, Magnoliopsida, Poales, Poaceae.
AAUAUACUCCCUCCGUCCAGAAAUACUCGUCACAGAAAUGGAUAUAAAUGAAUGCACCUAAAGCUAAAAUACUUCUAAAUACAUCCAUUCCUCCGACAAGUAUUUCCGGAUGGAGGGAGUAUUUA